UAAAGGGUCAACAAUUUUCUCAUCGAACGAAGAACAGAAUACAUGCCAUUUUGUCGAAACUGGGUAAUGGCUUGGAAACCAAACCCAGAAGCCUGGGAGAAGAAGAAGAAACCACAAAAAUUGUUUAUGAUCACAGUGUAAAAAAAGGUAAGUGCAGGUGAUAUCAGAUCAGGGAAUAAGUCGGAGAAUUGAAACAGUGUCAAAUUUGCUGUCUCAAAAUCACUUAAUUGAAACCUAUCAAAAUUUAUAUUUACUUCAACUGAGCAAGGAUGUCUGGUCGGGAAGGAGGUAAAAAGAAGCCAUUGAAAGCCCCCAAAAAGGAAAAGGGACCGAUAGACGAGGAUGACUUAGCCAUGAAGCAGAAAAUGAAGGAGCAACAGAAAGCCCUGCAAGAAGCCAAAGCGAAGGCAUCUCAGAAAGGUCCAUUGGUAGGAGGAGGGAUAAAAAAAUCAGGAAAGAAAUGAGAACACAGAAUCAACUUUUUUACUGGUAUCAGAAAAAAUUCAGCUUUACUAAAUGUUCAUAUAACAAAUAAAUUUCUUGUGAAAUAA
Leptinotarsa decemlineata (Colorado potato beetle) is the source of this 551-nucleotide long non-coding RNA. Lineage: Eukaryota; Metazoa; Arthropoda; Insecta; Coleoptera; Chrysomelidae. The record is from RefSeq and is a predicted model, not a curated record.